AUGAGGAUACUUUGUUGGAAUUGUCAUGGGAUUGGCGAUCCUGCGACGGUCAAGGAGCUCCGUGAUCUAGUGGAGGCUUGCGCGCCGGCGGUGCUUUGCAUAGUGGAGACACAAAUCGCGAAGUGUCGUGUGGAAGGCUUGGCGAGCAAUUUAGGUUUUACAGGUAGAUUUGGAGUUGAUAGUAGAGGUAGAAGUGGUGGGCUUUGCUUAUUUUGGAGGAAUAAUGUAGUUCUUGAAAUAAAAACUUAUUCUCAGUAUCAUAUUGACUCGGUGGUUAAUGAACCGGGCAAGGAAGCGUGGAGGUUAUCUGUCUUCUAUGGUGCAGCGAGCAGGAACAUGAGGUAUAAAACAUGGGAUACUAUGAAAAUCUUGCUAGGAGAAAAUGAUCUUCCUUGGGUCUGCAUGGGAGACUUUAACGAGAUAUUGCGGCAGGAAGAGCAGAUGGGACCCAACGAGAGGGACAGUGCACAAAUAGAAGGAUUCAGGGAGGCAGUGGAUGUGUGUCAGCUAGCUGACCUGGGCUACAAAGGUCUAGACUGGACGUUUGAGAAAAGAGUUGCUGGGGGGGGGGAGUAUUGUAGAGUCCGACUUGACCGUGCCCUAGCUACGGCUAGUUGGUAG
This 621-nucleotide ribosomal RNA is filed under the name Triticum aestivum (bread wheat). RNAcentral's name for it is "partial small subunit ribosomal RNA". Lineage: Eukaryota; Viridiplantae; Streptophyta; Magnoliopsida; Poales; Poaceae. The record is from RNAcentral.